UACGGAGGGUGCAAGCGUUAUCCGGAUUUACUGGGUUUAAAGGGUGUGUAGGCGGACUUUUAAGUCAGCGGUGAAAUCUCCGGGCUCAACCCGGAAACUGCCAUUGAUGCUAUUGGUCUUGAAUGUUGUUGAGGUGGGCGGAACGGGUCAUGUAGCGGUGAAAUGCAUAGAUAUGACCCGGAACACCGAUUGCGAAGGCAGCCCACUAAGCAACGAUUGACGCUGAGGCACGAAAGCGUGGGGAUCAAACAGG
RNAcentral lists this ribosomal RNA (253 nucleotides) under uncultured bacterium. RNAcentral describes it as "partial 16S ribosomal RNA". It matches the Rfam family "Bacterial small subunit ribosomal RNA", at positions 524 to 776 of the family's 1533-position model. The record is from RNAcentral.